GUCCCUUCGGGGACAUCCGAUAAAAUUGGAACGAUACAGAGAAGAUUAGCAUGGCCCCUGCGCAAGUAUGACGCACAAAUCGAGAAAUGGUCCAAAUUUUU
Helianthus annuus (common sunflower) is the source of this 101-nucleotide non-coding RNA. Lineage: Eukaryota; Viridiplantae; Streptophyta; Magnoliopsida; Asterales; Asteraceae. The record is from Rfam.